CCUACGGGAGGCAGCAGUGGGGAAUCUUGCGCAAUGGGCGAAAGCCUGACGCAGCCAUGCCGCGUGAAUGAUGAAGGUCUUAGGAUUGUAAAAUUCUUUCACCGGGGACGAUAAUGACGGUACCCGGAGAAGAAGCCCCGGCUAACUUCGUGCCAGCAGCCGCGGUAAUACGAAGGGGGCUAGCGUUGCUCGGAAUUACUGGGCGUAAAGGGAGCGUAGGCGGAUAGUUUAGUCAGAGGUGAAAGCCCAGGGCUCAACCUUGGAAUUGCCUUUGAUACUGGCUAUCUUGAGUACGGAAGAGGUAUGUGGAACUCCGAGUGUAGAGGUGAAAUUCGUAGAUAUUCGGAAGAACACCAGUGGCGAAGGCGACAUACUGGUCCGUUAACUGACGCUGAGGCUCGAAAGCGUGGGGAGCAAACAGGAUUAGAUACCCUGGUAGUCCACGCUGUAAACGAUGAGUGCUAGUUGUCGGCANGNAUGCAUGUCGGUGACGCAGCUAACGACAUAAGUACACUCCGCCGUCGGGGAGGUACGGUCGGCGAAGAAGUUAAAACGUAACUAAAGUUAAGUUAAGUAGUUACGCGUGAGNGCGCGACGGACGACGACGGAGGGAGGAGG
This 618-nucleotide ribosomal RNA is filed under the name uncultured bacterium. Its description in RNAcentral is "bacterial SSU rRNA". The stretch from base 1 to 520 matches the Rfam family "Bacterial small subunit ribosomal RNA", at positions 338 to 873 of the family's 1533-position model. The record is from RNAcentral.